GUGUCAGCCGCCGCGGUAAUACGGAGGGUGCAAGCGUUAAUCGGAAUUACUGGGCGUAAAGCGUGUGUAGGCGGUCUAUUAAGUCGGAUGUGAAAGCCCCGGGCUUAACCUGGGAAUUGCAUUCGAAACUGGUAGGCUUGAAUUUGGUAGAGGGAAGUGGAAUUCCGGGUGUAGCGGUGAAAUGCGUAGAUAUCCGGAGGAACACCAGUGGCGAAGGCGGCUUCCUGGACCAAAAUUGACGCUGAGGCACGAAAGCGUGGGUAGCUAACAGGAUUAGAUACCCUGGUAGUCCACGCCCUAAACGAUGUCGACUGGCUGUCGGGUUCAUUUGGAACUUGGUAGCGAAGCUAACGCGUUAAGUCGACCGCCUGGGGAGUACGGCCGCAAGGUUGAAACUUAAAGGAAUUGGCGGGG
This 414-nucleotide ribosomal RNA is filed under the name uncultured prokaryote. RNAcentral's name for it is "bacterial SSU rRNA". It matches the Rfam family "Bacterial small subunit ribosomal RNA", at positions 505 to 918 of the family's 1533-position model. The record is from RNAcentral.